RNAcentral lists this ribosomal RNA (440 nucleotides) under uncultured bacterium. Its description in RNAcentral is "partial 16S ribosomal RNA". It matches the Rfam family "Bacterial small subunit ribosomal RNA", at positions 338 to 795 of the family's 1533-position model. The record is from RNAcentral.
CCUACGGGAGGCAGCAGUAGGGAAUAUUGCUCAAUGGGGGAAACCCUGAAGCAGCAACGCCGCGUGGAGGAUGAAGGUUUUCGGAUUGUAAACUCCUUUUGUUAGAGAAGAAAAUGACGGUAGCUAACGAAUAAGCACCGGCUAACUCCGUGCGAGCAGCCGCGGUAAUACGGAGGGUGCAAGCGUUACUCGGAAUAACUGGGCGUAAAGAGCGCGUAGGCGGGAUAGCAAGUCAGAUGUGAAAUCCUAGGGCUUAACCAUAGAACUGCAUUUGAAACUGUUAUUCUAGAGUAUGGGAGAGGUAGGUGGAAUUCUUGGUGUAGCGGUCAACUCCGUAGAGAUCACGAGGAAUACUCAUUGCGAAGGCGACCUGCUAGAACAUACCUGACGCUGAUGCGCGACAGCGUGGGGAGCAAACAGGAUUAGAUACCCUUGUAGUC